GGAGAGGCUGAAAGAAGUUAUUGAACAGAUCACGAGCUGUAGCUUCUUGCUCUUCCAACUACUGUCAGACAUUUGCUCAAGAGGAUUGAGAAACUGGAGCAGAGAUGGGAUACGUGUCCAGAAGAAAAAUGGAAGGUUAUCUUUAUCCAUUGAACAAGCAGUUAGAGAAAGGUUUUGAAGAGUUCCUGCAGAGAAGUUUAGAUUUUCAACAGCAGCAUGAAAUCAAUGUUGUAUUCUAUUUAGAUUUUCAUUAACCAUAUGAAAUCAAUG
Rosa chinensis is the source of this 270-nucleotide long non-coding RNA. RefSeq lists it as uncharacterized. The record is from RefSeq and is a predicted model, not a curated record. NCBI's taxonomy places the organism in Eukaryota, Viridiplantae, Streptophyta, Magnoliopsida, Rosales, Rosaceae. The transcript is spliced from 3 exons.